This 253-nucleotide ribosomal RNA is filed under the name uncultured bacterium. RNAcentral's name for it is "partial 16S ribosomal RNA". It matches the Rfam family "Bacterial small subunit ribosomal RNA", at positions 524 to 776 of the family's 1533-position model. The record is from RNAcentral.
UACAGAGGUCCCCAGCGUUGUUCGGAUUCACUGGGCGUAAAGGGUGCGUAGGUGGCUGGGAAAGUUUGAUGUGAAAGCUCGGAGCUUAACUCCGAAAUGGCAUUGAAUACUUCCUAGCUUGAGGGUCGGAGGGGAGACUGGAAUUCUCGGUGUAGCAGUGAAAUGCGUAGACAUCGAGAGGAACACCAGUGGCGAAGGCGAGUCUCUGGACGACUCCUGACACUGAGGCACGAAAGCUCGGGGAGCAAACAGG